This 292-nucleotide ribosomal RNA is filed under the name uncultured bacterium. RNAcentral describes it as "partial 16S ribosomal RNA". The record is from RNAcentral.
GGACUACCCGGGUUUCUAAUCCUGUUUGCUCCCCACGCUUUCGCACCUCAGCGUCAAUAUGUGUCCAGUAAGUCGCCUUCGCCACUGGUGUUCUUCCGAAUAUCUACGAAUUUCACCUCUACACUCGGAAUUCCACUUACCUCUCCACAAUUCUAGCGAUGCAGUUUUAAAGGCAAUUCCAGGGUUAAGCCCUGGGCUUUCACCUCUAACUUGCAAAGCCGCCUACGUGCGCUUUACGCCCAGUAAUUCCGAACAACGCUAGCCCCCUCCGUAUUACCGCGGCGGCUGGCAC